This 807-nucleotide unclassified non-coding RNA is filed under the name Hevea brasiliensis (rubber tree). Lineage: Eukaryota; Viridiplantae; Streptophyta; Magnoliopsida; Malpighiales; Euphorbiaceae. The record is from RNAcentral.
GGGGGUUGCGUUUUAUAAAAUUUAUUUACCAAAAGGUUGCAUUUUCAAAAUCUUGGGUUAGAACUUGCAAGUCAUGGUUUUAUAACCACGGCUAUCCUGACACACGGCCAAACCUAUGUCUAUCUAGUCCUAAGGAAAUAAUGGACUAUGUACUGGGUCGCUAAUAAUAACCAUCAGAGGCAUCCAAUCCAGCAUUCAUGAAUGACAUAAACAUGCUUGAUAGAAGGUGACAAGGUAGCAAGUUGUUGACAAAAAUCACGACUUUGUACGGAGUUCUGCCAAUUAAAUUCUGAGCUCUCCUACACAGCCAACAGAAACAAAAUUGAGCUCUCUCUGCUACUUCCCAAUCGUUCCUCAAUAGAGUUGGAAAUUUUGGGAGCUGCGAAUUUAAUUGGGAGAAUUGAAUACAACGACUUCCAAUCUCAUGGUAGGUUGUGAGCCUUUGAUGGUCUUUAUUUUGAAUCGGGACCAAGUCUCUAGUUGCUUCUUUCCUAAGACUGGGCAUAAUUGAGUACCUAGUCAUUUGCAAAGAUUAUGUGCUCAAUGGUCGUGUGUCAGGAUAGUCAUGGUAACCCACACUUGCAAGUCACGUUUCUAAUCCAUGAUUUUGAGUUUGAAAAUUUAAAUUCACACCUCUUUUGUAAAUAAGUUUUGAACCUCCCUUUUGGUAAUAAGUUUUUAAAAAUCAACCUUUUGGGAAAAAGCUCCUUUUCUCUUUAUGUGCCCUUUGGAUUUUUUUAAUGGCAGUUGUCUAACCAAUGGGAUUUGAUUGUCAUCUGAAAUAGAGCAAUCAUAUUGUGGCUCUAA